This 465-nucleotide ribosomal RNA is filed under the name uncultured bacterium. RNAcentral describes it as "bacterial SSU rRNA". It matches the Rfam family "Bacterial small subunit ribosomal RNA", at positions 337 to 794 of the family's 1533-position model. The record is from RNAcentral.
UCCUACGGGGGGCAGCAGUGGGGAAUAUUGGACAAUGGGGGAAACCCUGAUCCAGCGACGCCGCGUGUGUGAAGAAGGCCUGCGGGUUGUAAAGCACUUUUAGUGGGGAUGAAAAGUGCAGAGCUAAUAUCUCUGCAUCUUGACCUAACCCAAAGAAAAAGCACCGGCUAACUCUGUGCCAGCAGCCGCGGUAAUACAGAGGGUGCGAGCGUUAAUCGGAAUUACUGGGCGUAAAGCGUGCGUAGACGGUAGCGUAAGUCAGAUGUGAAAGCCCCGGGCUCAACCUGGGAACUGCAUUUGAGACUGCUCUGCUCGGGUGCGGAAGAGGGAAGCGGAAUUUCCGGUGUAGCGGUGAAAUGCGUAGAUAUCGGAAGGAACACCAGUGGCGAAAGCGGCUUCCUGGUCCGACACCGACGUUCAGGCACGAAAGCGUGGGGAGCAAACAGGAUUAGAUACCCCGGUAGG